ACGAACGCUGGCGGCGUGCUUAACACAUGCCAGUCGAACGGUGAAGCGCCUUCCUUUUUGGUGGGUGUGGAUGAGUGGCGAACGGGUGAGUAACACGUGAGUAACCUGCCCCCUUCUUCUGGAUAACCGCAUGAAAGUGUGGCUAAUACGGGAUAUUCUGGGUCUGUCGCAUGAUGGGUCUGGGAAAGAUAUUGUUUCGGUGGGGGAUGGGCUCGCGGCCUAUCAGCUUGUUGGUGGGGUGAUGGCCUACCAAGGCGGUGACGGGUAGCCGGCCUGAGAGGGUGGACGGUCACACUGGGACUGAGACACGGCCCAGACUCCUACGGGAGGCAGCAGUGGGGAAUAUUGCACAAUGGGCGCAAGCCUGAUGCAGCGACGCCGCGUGAGGGAUGGAGGCCUUCGGGUUGUGAACCUCUUUCGCCAGUGAAGCAGGCCUGCCUCGUUUGUGGGUGGGUUGACGGUAGCUGGAUAAGAAGCGUCGGCUAACUACGUG
Molecule: ribosomal RNA, 493 nt
Filed under: uncultured bacterium
Lineage: Bacteria
Description: partial 16S ribosomal RNA
Rfam family: Bacterial small subunit ribosomal RNA
Source: RNAcentral